GUUAAGUGGGGAUAUGGUAAGUGGCAUGAAGUGGCGUGACAACAAGACAAACAGCUAUGUUCCAUAUUUCUAGGUGGAUGAUUGGAGAUGACCACCAGCAGAUACUUUACCACAAUGUAGAUUGCUAGUGGCCCUUAAGGUAUGAAAAGUUGAAAUGAGACAAGAUAUGAAUAUGCACAAUGGAACAAAGAACCUAGCUGAGCCUUAAUGUAACCUUCUCAAGGCUGUGUAAUUCAGGACUACAGAUGACUAUGAUGUGAGAUAGAUAUACAAGCAACAAAUGUGGUUGCUCUUAAGCUACAUGGAUACUAGGCAAUGACUUCUGUGCAUGGUGUUGAUCAAAUUGUUUGGGGCACAGUACAGAGCGGAAGGCAAAGUGAACUAGUUGGAUGAUUUCUGCAUUUUUGUAAAAAGUUCCAUUGGUUGACUUUGGGUCAACUAAGACUCUCUAAUUAGGUUCGGGCUAGAUACUUUGCCUUUCCAGAUUUGGGAAAGAGUUCUUCAGAGAGAAGGGCUUGUUGGACCUGACGGAUCUGGAGGGAUUUUGCCAAACAGGCCCUUGAACUAGACGGUAAGGAAUGGAGACUAUUAGGAGGUGAGGAUAGGCCAAGUUUCUACCUGAGAAUUAAAAGUUUUCCAGUAUUACUUGUUAAUUAAGGAGUAACUAAGUGUAAUUCCCUCUGCUUUACAGGAUUAAAUUUAUAGUAACUUGAAAUAAUAUGAAAUAAAGAGAUUAAAAGAAAUUAAGAAUGUCGGUUAUGAUUAUGGAAUUCUGAAAUCAAACAUAGUUUAUGAUUGUUUUGUGCUGCAUUUAAGAAUACUAGAUGAAGUUGCAAGCAAUAUAAUACUCUGUAGUAAAUCAAAAGAAAUAAUGUCAAUUUAGUCCUAAUCUUUCAUCAAAUGCUAAUAUAAUUGGUUUGACUAGCUUCAAUCUUUUGAAUGAAAGGAUUCUCUACUUCGACCUCUGCUGCUUAGAUAUCCAUUCAUAUAUACUGCAUGUAUCUAUUCACCAUACUCAAGCAUGCUGGAAUCUCAUCAGCUUACAUGUGUUGAUGAUUUUGAAACUGCUAUUGGCAAGCACCUAGAACAAUAUAUUACUUUGCAUGGCUCCUAAAAUCAUAUGACAAAAUUAUUUACAGAAUAUUAUAAUGGUGAUUUACAUUGAACUGCUUGUUGGUGUUGUAGCUGUGGCUGGCGAGCACUUAUCGCACAAAACUGCAGGAAUCCUUUCAACAAUAUUUGACAUUGGAGGGGUAUUCGGUGGCAUUUCAGCAGGAUUCAUUUCGGAUAGUCUUGGUGUUCGUGCUCUGACUUCAGUUCUAUUCCUUAUGUUCUCAAUCCCAUCACUUAUUCUUUAUCGAAUAUAUGGAAGCGUAUCAAUGCACCUCAACAUCGGACUAAUGUUUCUAUCUGGCUACUUUGUAAAUGGCCCAUAUUCGCUUAUUACCACAGCUGUUGCAGCUGAUUUGGGUACUCAGGACACAAUUAAAGGCAAUUCACGAGCAUUAGCUACUGUAACAGCCAUUAUUGAUGGUACAGGUUCUGUUGGGGCAGCUUUGGGACCUUUACUUACAGGGUACAUUUCAACUCGGGGAUGGAACAGUGUUUUCUUGAUGUUAAUUUUUUCAACUUCUCUGGCAAUUAUGUUUUUGAUACACAUUGCAAAAGCUGAGGUUAUUAGCAAGAUGAGUGAGAGAACAUAGAUUAGGAUAACAAAAUGGAUUUGGUAUCAUGAAAACAGAAUGAAUUGAUAUGUUGGUAUCUGCUUUUUUUCUUGUUAAUUUUUUUCCAUUGUAUGGAAUGUAUAUGAAGUAUACUUGGUUUACUUUUUGAGAUUCCAAAGUACAUUUCUACCAUAAUGACAUGUUAUUGGAGUUGAGUGCAGCAUCAGAUUUGAGGAACUGACGAUUAUGCUACCUGACACAUCCUUCAUGGUGUGCUUGCAUAUCAGGCUAUUCAGUCUUGCGUCGUUGCUCGGAUCCUCACAGCAAUUCCAGAGAGGAUGUCAGGAUGGAGGUAUGUAUUUAGUUCAUUUGAGACUUCUCUGGUUAUGACCAUGGAAUUCCUUACAUCUCAAAUUGAUAUUUGUUUUCCAAGGGACAUUUUGUUGACAUACCGUCAAAUAUUUUUUCCAUUUCUAAUUGUCAACAUGUACUCAUCAAUUUGACUUCUGCUCCACUUAAAAUUGGGAUCAUCAUUUAUUAAUAAUUUCUGCACUUAAAUCUUUUUUUACCUUGAAAAAUGAGUAUCGGCUUGAGAUUUAUUAGUAAUUUCCGCACUUUAACUCUUGUGUAUAAGAUUUUCUUGUUUUUUAGCUGGUUUUGGUGCAGGGAAUAGGUGUUGCUUGCAUCAGGCCUGUUGAUCACCUCUGGUUACAGGCUGUCUUCUCGUAAUUCUGAGGUAGGACUCAGCUACAUUCUUAUGGGUCACAUUACAAAAUCUUUUUCUGUUUAUAUUGACAAUUGAACUAGAAGCUCACGUCCAACAAUGGUAAGCCAAAGAAAGUCCUCAGUUCAUGUUGAAGGUAAACAUUUUGUUUGUCAGGUGCUGUAUCAGGUUACCAUGUUAUAAAUGAUUUUUAAUGCAUAAACCUUUCCAAGAUGAUCUUUCUUCGUAAAUUCUCAGGUAAGUGGUUUAUUUCUUGCUUAAAUUUGAGGAUCUUUGAGCUGGAGAAGGGUUGAGUUGUAAAAAUGCAAGACUGUGUUUAGAUACCUACUACCAUUCCAGGAAAUUAUCAUUUUUGCUGUUGUUUCAUUUUCAAAUAUUGGAACAUCAUCCUUGUAAAAUCAAAAUAAUUGCAUAGCUUCAUGCAUUUCUAUGUCAGAAGCAUUUGCUUGUC
Non-coding RNA from Phoenix dactylifera (date palm), 2839 nucleotides. Lineage: Eukaryota; Viridiplantae; Streptophyta; Magnoliopsida; Arecales; Arecaceae. The record is from RefSeq and is a predicted model, not a curated record.